GCCUCCAUAGCUCAAUUGGUAGAGCAGCGGACUCUUAAUCCGUUGGUUCCAGGUUCGAGUCCUGGUGGGGGCACCA
This 76-nucleotide transfer RNA is filed under the name Acidobacteriota bacterium. RNAcentral describes it as "Acidobacteria bacterium (rhizosphere metagenome) tRNA-Lys". It matches the Rfam family "tRNA". From Rfam's summary of the family: Transfer RNA (tRNA) molecules are approximately 80 nucleotides in length. Their secondary structure includes four short double-helical elements and three loops (D, anti-codon, and T loops). Lineage: Bacteria; Pseudomonadati; Acidobacteriota. The record is from RNAcentral. RNAcentral also lists the same sequence under 4 other names.